Molecule: long non-coding RNA, 822 nt
Filed under: Bos grunniens (domestic yak)
Lineage: Eukaryota; Metazoa; Chordata; Mammalia; Artiodactyla; Bovidae
Description: lncRNA (ENSBGRG00000016924.1)
Source: RNAcentral
AUGGGGAGUGUCCUGCGAGGUCUGGAGGUCACCGAGGCGGGCGAGGAGGACGCUGAGGGAGGGAUGCGAGAACUCAACGCACCGGCAGGGGGAGCCCGAGUAAGCAGGAAGCAAGGGCCUGGGAGUGGGCGGCCGGCGGUAGGCCGACCGAGGUUACCCGCGGGCGACCGUCGUGACGCAGUCCCCGGCCCGGAUCUGGAGAAGAGAAGAGCCGGACACUGCAAGGUCAGCAUUGACCCCAUUUUACGGAUGAGACAACUGAGACUCCGAGAGGUGAGACUGGCCGCCCCGGGUCCCACGGCUAAUCAGUGCAGGGGCGGGAUUCGAAGUGAGGACACCCUGUCAUCGACCCUUUCCCCUCCCAUACCUCUGACUGGAGGGUGACUACUUGCACUCUACUCAGCUCAAAGAGUUGUUGGCUGCCUGCUCCCUGCUCCCUGCUCAGAGAGCGUCCCUUGUAGCUCAGUCAGUAAAGAAUCUGCCUGCAGUUCAGGAGACCCAGGUUCGAUCCCUGAGUCGGGAAGAUCCCCUGGAGAAGGAAAUGGCAAUCCACUCCAGCAUUCUUGCCUGAAGAAAUCCCAUGGACAGAGGAGCCUGGUGGGCUGCAGUCCAUGGGGUUGCAGAGUCGGGCACGACUGAGCGAUUAACACUUACACUUACUUACCCUGGUCAGAGGCACCCAGUCUUGGGGUGGGUGCCCACCAACAGUAGGGAGAUGUAGCCAUAAAACUUAGUGGUCGGUACUUCCUACUUUAGUGUCUUCUCUAGUGGCUCUGUGGUAAAGAAUCUGCCUGCCCUCAGAUACAGCUUCGAGAUACGGGU